AGAGGCAUGGUUGAGGAUAAUGUGCGGUGUUGGAUGUCAAAACCAUGUAUUUUUGAGCUACAAGUGAAAUCUAUGGAUUCUAAUUUAAGGAGAUGUUCCUAAGGGUUCCUUAUGUAUGCAUACAAAUUUUGGAGUUGUUUGGUGUCUGUUUGGAUAGGGGCUUGACUUAGCCAAGGUUAAGUGGCAUUGUCAUAAUUUGCUGAUUGGUCCAAAGGUAAUAACUCAUUCCAUGAGUAUGGGAAUGGGAUGGA
This 251-nucleotide long non-coding RNA is filed under the name Capsicum annuum. Its description in RNAcentral is "long non-coding RNA (CANN_LNC015097)". Lineage: Eukaryota; Viridiplantae; Streptophyta; Magnoliopsida; Solanales; Solanaceae. The record is from RNAcentral.